CAGCAGCCACGGUAAUGCGUAGGGUGCGAGCGUUAAUCGGAAUUACUGGGCGUAAAGCGUGCGCAGGCGGUUGUGUAAGACAGGUGUGAAAUCCCCGGGCUUAACCUGGGAACUGCGCUUGUGACUGCACAGCUAGAGUAUGGCAGAGGGGGGUGGAAUUCCACGUGUAGCAGUGAAAUGCGUAGAGAUGUGGAGGAACACCGAUGGCGAAGGCAGCCCCCUGGGCCAAUACUGACGCUCAUGCACGAAAGCGUGGGGAGCAAACAGGAUUAGAUACCCCCGUAGUCCCUGUCUCUUAUAC
This 301-nucleotide ribosomal RNA is filed under the name uncultured bacterium. Its description in RNAcentral is "partial 16S ribosomal RNA". It matches the Rfam family "Bacterial small subunit ribosomal RNA", at positions 509 to 807 of the family's 1533-position model. The record is from RNAcentral.